ACUUAAUUAGUUUAAGAGAAAAUAUUAAAUUGUGGUUUUAAAGUUGAUGUUCAUUAAGUA
This 60-nucleotide transfer RNA is filed under the name Alectorobius rudis. RNAcentral's name for it is "tRNA-His". Lineage: Eukaryota; Metazoa; Arthropoda; Arachnida; Ixodida; Argasidae. The record is from RNAcentral.